CCCUUAGAUGUUCUGGGCCGCACGCGCGCUACACUGACGGAGUCAACGAGUUUAUAACCUGUACCGGAAGGUUUGGGUAAUCUUUUGAAACUUCGUCGUGCUGGGGCUUGAUCCUUGCAAUUUUCGAUCAUAAACGAGGAAUUCCUAGUAAGCGUGAUUCAUCAAAUCGCGUUGAUUACGUCCCUGCCCUUUGUACACACCGCCCGUCGCUACUACCGAUUGAAUGUUUUAGUGAGGUCUCGGGACUGCAGUCAUAGAGCUGGCAACAGCACUUUAACAGCGGAAACUUGGACAAACUUGAGCAUUUAGAGGAAGUAAAAGUCGUAACA
This 329-nucleotide ribosomal RNA is filed under the name uncultured eukaryote. RNAcentral describes it as "partial 18S ribosomal RNA". It matches the Rfam family "Eukaryotic small subunit ribosomal RNA", at positions 1470 to 1796 of the family's 1831-position model. The record is from RNAcentral.